AUGUUGCAGAGCAUUGCAUGCUUGUCUGAGUUAAGGACGCUUGGCAUUACAGAUAUAAGAGCAGGCCAGUCUGCAAGCUUGUGUAGUGCUAUCUCCAAGCUGUCUAAACUUCAACAUCUUUUGGUGUCCUCGGAAGGUGAUGAAGCGCUACAACUUUCGUCUGUUCAGCUGCCCCAAACAAUUCCGAAGCUCGAGGUUGGGGGUCUGCUGGGGCAGGCCACAACACGUAACCUCUUCACUUCAGUCAGAUGCCUCGGGAACAUCACUCAUCUCCAUCUAUGGUUCUCAAUGAUAAAUCAAGAUCUAUUUCGCUACCUCCAUUUGGGUUGUUUGUUGUCGCUCUGUAUUCUGCAGGCGUUUCAAGGUGAGGAGAUGUCGUUCUCUGCAGGGUCAUUUCCCAAACUUCAAUCGCAUGUGGUACAUGGUGCAUCGCAACUCAAGCGGAUUGAGAUAGAAGAGGGCUCUAUGGCGAACCUGGUCCGUCUUACGGUAACAGGUUGUCCAACACCGAAGGAGCUGCCUCAAGGUGUCGAGUUCCUCCACAAGCUCGAAGCGUUGCACCUCGAGAUCACAGUUGAUGAUUUUCUUUAG
RNAcentral lists this ribosomal RNA (591 nucleotides) under Triticum aestivum (bread wheat). RNAcentral's name for it is "partial small subunit ribosomal RNA". The record is from RNAcentral. Lineage: Eukaryota; Viridiplantae; Streptophyta; Magnoliopsida; Poales; Poaceae.